AUCGCUUCUCUGCCUUUUGGCUAAGAUCAAGUGUAGGAUCUGUUCUUAACAGCUUAAUAUCUGAUAUAUUUUCUAUCCGAGUCCAAUAUAUUAAAUGGAUUUGGGGAGCAGGAAGACGGAAUAGGAGCUUGCUUGUUCACUUCACGCAUCGAUCUGGUAUUGCAGUACCUCCAGGAACAGUGCACCCCCU
This 190-nucleotide small nuclear RNA is filed under the name Pan paniscus (pygmy chimpanzee). RNAcentral describes it as "U2 spliceosomal RNA (ENSPPAG00000014334.1)". It matches the Rfam family "U2 spliceosomal RNA". From Rfam's summary of the family: U2 is a small nuclear RNA (snRNA) component of the spliceosome (involved in pre-mRNA splicing). Complementary binding between U2 snRNA (in an area lying towards the 5' end but 3' to hairpin I) and the branchpoint sequence (BPS) of the intron results the bulging out of an unpaired adenosine, on the BPS, which initiates a nucleophilic attack at the intronic 5' splice site, thus starting the first of two transesterification reactions that mediate splicing. The record is from Rfam by way of RNAcentral. Lineage: Eukaryota; Metazoa; Chordata; Mammalia; Primates; Hominidae.